AGGAUGAACGCUGGCGGUCUGCUUAACACAUGCAAGUCGAACGCAACCUUCGGGUUGAGUGGCGGACGGGUGAGUAACGCGUGAGAAUCUGCCUUGGGGUCGGGGACAACCACUGGAAACGGUGGCUAAUACCGGAUAAGCCUUUGGGUAAAAGAUUUAUUGCCCCAAGAGGAGCUCGCGUCUGAUUAGCUAGUUGGUGAGGUAAAAGCUCACCAAGGCAGCGAUCAGUAGCUGGUCUGAGAGGACGAUCAGCCACACUGGGACUGAGACACGGCCCAGACUCCUACGGGAGGCAGCAGUGGGGAAUUUUCCGCAAUGGGCGAAAGCCUGACGGAGCAAGACCGCGUGAGGGAGGAAGGCUCUUGGGUUGUAAACCUCUUUUCUCAGGGAAGAAGCUCUGACGGUACCUGAGGAAUCAGCCUCGGCUAACUCCGUGCCAGCAGCCGCGGUAAUACGGAGGAGGCAAGCGUUAUCCGGAAUUAUUGGGCGUAAAGCGUCCGCAGGUGGCGAUUCAAGUCUGCUGUCAAAGCACGGGGCUUAACUCCGUUAAGGCAGUGGAAACUGAAUAGCUAGAGUGCCGUAGGGGUAGAGGGAAUUCCCGGUGUAGCGGUGAAAUGCGUAGAGAUCGGGAAGAACAUCGGUGGCGAAAGCGCUCUACUGGACGGCAACUGACACUCAGGGACGAAAGCUAGGGGAGCGAAUGGGAUUAGAUACCCCAGUAGUCCUAGCUGUAAACGAUGGAUACUAGGUGUAGCUUGUAUCGACCCGAGCUGUGCCGAAGCUAACGCGUUAAGUAUCCCGNCUGGGGAGUACGCACGCAAGUGU
RNAcentral lists this ribosomal RNA (825 nucleotides) under uncultured organism. RNAcentral describes it as "bacterial SSU rRNA". It matches the Rfam family "Bacterial small subunit ribosomal RNA", at positions 26 to 895 of the family's 1533-position model. The record is from RNAcentral.